CCAACGGCCCUCUUUAGGGCCACAAUUUUGAAAAUCCCCAUUGGUUU
Molecule: non-coding RNA, 47 nt
Organism: Caenorhabditis japonica
Lineage: Eukaryota; Metazoa; Nematoda; Chromadorea; Rhabditida; Rhabditidae
Source: Rfam